AGACGGGGGGUGCUAGCGUUGUUCGGAAUUACUGGGCGUAAAGCGUACGUAGGCGGUUAUUUAAGUCAGAUGUGAAAGCCCCGGGCUUAACUUGGGAACUGCAUUUGAAACUGGGUAACUAGAGUUUAGUAGAGGGGAGUGGAAUUUCAGGUGUAGCGGUGAAAUGCGUAGAGAUCUGAAGGAACACCAGUGGCGAAGGCGACUCCCUGGACUAGAACUGACGCUGAGGUACGAAAGCGUGGGUAGCAGACAGGAUUAGAAACCCCAGUAGUCC
RNAcentral lists this ribosomal RNA (274 nucleotides) under uncultured bacterium. RNAcentral describes it as "partial 16S ribosomal RNA". It matches the Rfam family "Bacterial small subunit ribosomal RNA", at positions 523 to 796 of the family's 1533-position model. The record is from RNAcentral.